GUAGUUUCUGCCGUGUGUAAAAUCUCGUGGCCGACUCACCCUUUUCAGUUGUUUGCUUUUUUUUUUUUUGGCUAAUCAAUCGAUGGAUGGGUAAUAAAUUAAACUUAAGAACCAUCUUGAAUUCAUUUCCAGACAAUUCAAAUGGCGUAGAUCAACUUUCAGACGAUGCAUCUCCAAAAGUGGGCGGUCCCAUCAUCAAAUUCUAGUGACCGAGAUUCAUAUAUCAAAAAAUAGGCCCUAGUCUUUAUCUUGGGAACUUGUACCCAACCCCGUCUUAAUUUUAACCAACCUGAGUCACACCUCAAGGGCCAGUUAGAAAAAAUUUGAAUUUAAAUAGUAUGCUUGCUGUCGAUUGUAUAAUAGUAGAACCAUCUCUUUUGGCCUUGUUGUUGAUUAUAUAACCUUAGAACCAUCUCUUUUGGUCUCACUUGUCCUUCAAUCUAAUGUUCUAAGUGGGUGUCUUCUUAUUUUAAGGGCAAUAAUUUUUCUCGUCUAAUUCUUUUAGCUGUUCACAGGGUGGAACUGUUUCAGCUAUGACUAUCAACAGGGGGAUUAUAUUGGGGUUUAUUCCUUCAGAUGAUUCUCAGGUUAUACUGCAGUCUGGACAGUUUAAAGGAGAAUUGAGAUUUAGGUGAAUGUGGUUGUGCAUCGAGGGGAAACAAACUCACACCUGAUCAAGUACAACACAGAUGUUACAUUUGUUACUGGUGAUCUUUUGUUUCACAUUCAGCAUUUUAAGUAUAAACUGAAGUUGUUCAAUAUUUGGAGGAAUUGUCAGUGCUACAAGUGGUUUUCACCUUCAUGAGAUUCCUACGUGUUACAAGUGGUUUUCACCUCCAUGAGAUUCCUACCUCUUCAUCUUGGUUGAUAUGUCCAUUUUGUCUCAAGAAUUUUCAUUUGUUGGUAGGAGACAAACUUUGGAUAAUACAACAUGACUUCUUAGAAAUGUUGAUCACUGUGAAGAAAAAAAAAUCACAAACCAAGCUUUCCCCAAAAAAUUUUCUGGCAAUCAUUAUGAGAAUAAGAGUCUGGAAGCCCAAGGUAACUAAUAGUCUAAAAUAGUCCAUUCAAUGCCUAUCCUUUGUGCAAGAGCCCUAAUACUUUGUAACUAGAAACUCAAUUACAG
Molecule: long non-coding RNA, 1126 nt
Organism: Asparagus officinalis (garden asparagus)
Lineage: Eukaryota; Viridiplantae; Streptophyta; Magnoliopsida; Asparagales; Asparagaceae
Exons: 3
Source: RefSeq, a predicted model, not a curated record